This 5604-nucleotide long non-coding RNA is filed under the name Sus scrofa (pig). RNAcentral's name for it is "lncRNA (ENSSSCG00000062588.1)". Lineage: Eukaryota; Metazoa; Chordata; Mammalia; Artiodactyla; Suidae. The record is from RNAcentral.
AGGUUCCCAGGCUAGGGGUCGAAUUGGAGAUCCUACCAUCAGCUGGCAGAGGAAGAGAAGACUUAGGCCUGGUUUGUGGAUAGUUCUGCAGAUGUGCAGGCACCUCCGGAAGUGGACAGCUGCAGAGCUGCAGGCCCCCUUUGGAGCAUCCCUGAAGGAGUGGUGAAAGGAAGUUUUCCCAGUGGGCAGAACUUUUAGCAGUGCAUCUGGUCAUUCAUUUUGCUCGGAAGGAAAAAUGGCCAGACAUGCAAUCAUGUACUGAUUCAUGAGCUGUGGCGAAUGGGUUGGUUACACGGGCAGGAACUUGGAAGGAACAUCAUUGGAACCUUGGUGACAAGGAAAUGUGGUGAUCUGGCAAAGAGGUAUGUGGACAGAUCUCUCUAAAUAGGUAAAAAAUGUAAAGAUAUUUUUAUCCCAGGUGAUGACUUCAGAGAAGACUUUAGUAAUCAAGGGGAUAGGAUGACCAGUUGUGUGGAUACCAGUCAGCUACUGUGGAGACCCCCUAUCACCAAUGCGCUCGUGAACCAAGUAGCCAUGGUGGCAGGGAUGGAGUUAUGCGUGGGCUCAACAACAAGGGCAUCCAUUCACCAUGCCAAACUAGCUACUGCCACCACUGACUGCCCAAUGUGCCAGCAGCAGAGACCAACACUCAGUACUUGCGAUGGCCCUGUUCCCCAGGGUGACACCAGCUACUCGAUGGCACGUUGAUUACACUUAACUGCUUCCAAUACACAAGGGGUGACGUCUUGUUCUUACUGAAACAGACACUUGCUCUGAACAUGAAUUUUCAUUCCCUGCACACACUGCUUCAGCCUGAACUACCAUCUGCGGACCAAGAGAAGGCCUUACACAUCAUUCACACAGCAUCACUUCUGACCUAGGGACUCACUUCACAGCAAAAGUGGUGUGGCCAGGGGCCCGUGCUCUUGGACAUCACUGGUCUCACUGUGUUGCCCACCAUCCUGAAGCAGCUGGUUUGGCAGACGAGUGGAAUGGCCUUUUGAAGACUUAAUUCUGGCACUAGCUGGGCAGCAAUAUCUUGCCGUGUUAGAGCAAGGUUUCUCAAGAAGGGUGUAACCUCCCAAAUAUGGGGCUGCCUUCCCCAGAGCCAGGAUUCACAGGUCCAGGAAUCAAGGGGAGGAAAGGGGAGUGGCACCACUUACUGUUGUUACCCCUGGUGACCCACUAGCAAAAUGUUUGUUUCCUGCUUCUGCAAGAGUAUGCUCUGUUGGCCUAGAGGGCUCAGUUCCAUGGGAAGAAUGUUUCUACCCAGAGACACAACAAUGAUUCCAUUGAGCGGGGAGCUAAGACAGCCACCUGGUCAUUGUGGACUCCUCAUGCCUCUGAAUCAGUAGGCAAAGAAAGGAGUUACUGUACUUGCGCUAACUGGGGUGAUGGAUCCUGACUACCAAGGGGAAAUUGGAUGGCUGCUCUGCAGGAGAUCCCUUAAGGCUUCUCUUAGCAUGACCAUGCCCUGUGAUUAAGGACAAUGGAAAACUACAACCCCCCGAGCCCAGGGAGGAUGCUAAUGGCCCAGACCCUUCAGGAAUAAAGACCUGGGUCACCCCACCAGCUACAGAAUCAUGACCAGCUGAGGUGCUCGCUGAAGGCAAAAGAAAUACAAAAAAGGCAGGAGAAGAAGGUAGUCCUAACAUGGGCUACAACCACAUGGCCAGUACAGAAAUAAGGACUGCAACUAUCGUAAGAAUUUCUUCCUUACUGUGUUAUGAAUAUGUUUGUCCGUGUGUAUAGAGGAUGUCUUUGUUUUCUUCCCUCUCUUAUUCUCUUAUUGUGUAACACAAGAUGUAUGGACUUUAUAUCAUAGUAUGUAAGUACUGCUAAUUUUCAACCACAUUUUUAAGUUAAAGGAGAUCAAAGAGACAUGUAAACAUCACUCGAGGACUUUACCACCUCUUCUGGGAAAGGAGUUAUAGUGUGUUUUCAGUUGUAUGCAGAAUUGUUGUAUCAUAUUCAGUAGAAUUAUAACCUUGUGAUUGUCUUUAUUUGGAGAUUAAGGAUCGGUCUAAGAGAUGCUUGUGGGUGCCACAUUGACAAGGGGGGUAUUUGUAAUUGCUCAUUUUAUAUGUACGGAGCAGGGGGGAAAAUAGAAAAUACAGAAAAUAACGUAAAAGACAUGUUAAAAAUGUUUAACAUCAUAUAAUUAGGGUCUCAGAACAAAAGGAAAGAGAGAAUGAACCCCAAAUUAGACAUAUACCAAGAAAGCCACAGCCAGGCACAGCAUAGUGAAACUGUUAAAAAUUUAAAACAAAGAGGAAUCUUAAAAGUAUCUAGAGAAAAAAAGAAAGACUCAUUCUUUCCAAAAGCACCAAGGAAUCAACAGCUGAAUUUUUGCGAGAAAGGAUAGAAAGAAGAAGAAAAAAGAAUAAGAUCGUUAAUGAGCCGAAAGACAAUAACUGCCAACCCGGAAUUCCACAUCCAGUGAAAAUAUGCUUCAGAAAUGAAGGUGAACUGAAGAAGUGCCCAAACAAUAAGAAAUGUUUAGGCAAAUAAAUGUUUAGAGAGAAUUAGUUACUUGUGCACGCACUCUAGAAGAAAUGCUAAAAGGAGUUCUUCCAACAUAAGAAAAAUAAUUCCAGGAGCUCUCUUGUGGCGCAGUGGGUUAAGGACAGUGCGUUGUUGCUGCAGCAGCUUGGGUCGCUGCUGUGGCAUGGGUUCAGUCUUUGGCUGGGGAACUUCCACAUGCCACAGGCACGGCCAAAAAACAAACAAACAAACAAACAAUUUCAGAGUUAAGGGUGAUAAUUCAGGAAGGAUUAAAGAGUGUCAGAAAGAGAAAAUGGGUGUGUCCGUCUAAGUGACUACUGGAGGCAUAAAACAAAAAUAAUCAUGAUUUACGAGGUGUAUCCACAUAGAGUAAAAAAGACAUGACAACAAUAUCACAAAGAGUGGAAGGAGAGUUUACCAGAGCAAAUCCUGAAACAAAGGUCUGAGUUUAAAUAAUUUAUUUGGGGAGUUAACCCAGAUAACUUCAGUACAGGGCUGGGAAGUGAGUUAGGGAAGGGAGGGAACCGAUGAAGUGGGCAGAAUCUAGUGGAUUGUCACUCUGGGAACUGGAGCGUAAUCCUGCUUGGAAACUCUGGGACCAAAGCUCAGGCACCUCAGGGUUAAUCCCGCUUGAGGGCAAAGACGCUGGGAUAUUCAUUCACCAUCUCUGGUCAAUCACGGGUUGAAGACCACUUCAGGGAGUUUUAAAUUUCUAGGCCCUUCUAGCCUGCUGGGCACUCAGCAGUCAAAGAAGCCCUCAGGUCCAAGUUGAGCCACAGAGGCUGGGAGUUGUAAACUGGGCCAAUGGAAAUGGUGCCAAGAAGGUUUAGGUGGGGCACCGAGAGCAUCUACUAUUGGAAAAAAAGGAGUUAAAAAAAUUACACAUUGGGAGUUCCCAUCAUGGCUCAGCAGUAACAAACCUGACUAGUAUCCAUGAGGAUGUGGGCUGGAUCCCCAGCCUCGCUCAGUGGGUCGGGGAUCUGGCCUUGCCGUGAGCUGUGAUGCAGCUUCCAGAUGUGGCUCAGAUCCUGCGUUGCUGUGGCUCUGGCAUAGGCCAGAAGCUGCAACUCUGAUUUGACCCCUAGCCUGGGAACCUCCAUAUGCUGCAGGUACGGCCCUAAAAUCAAAAAAAGGAAAGAAAUUGGAGUUCCCUGGUGGCCUAGCAGUUAAAGGAUUUGGCAUUGGCAUUGCUGUGGCUCAGGUUUGAUCCCUGGUCUGGAAACUUCUGCAUCCACAGGUGCAGCCAAAAAAAUUAAAAAUUUAUUUUUAGUAAUCCAGGAGAAAUAAAUGUACUACUUUAUAUCAGCACUCAGCAUUCAAAGAAACCCUCAGGCCAAGUUGAGUCACAGAGGCUUUAAUAAAUAGAAGAUGCAUAUUGUAAUCUCCAGAUUUUAAAGAGUAAAAUAAUGUGUAUUUGACAAGUUAGUAGAGGGAGAAACAGAACUGCUGAAAAUGACUUGUUAUUCUGAAAGGUUAAAAAGUUGAAAAAAUGAACACAGGAAAAUGGAAUGAACAGAAAACAAAUACUAAGGUGGUAGAUUUUAAUCUUGAUGUAGCAUUAAUUGUGUAACUGGAAGAGGAUUAAAUAUUCCAACGAAAAGGCAAAGAUUAUCAGAUAAACUAAUAGAGCACAACACGACUAAAUGUUGCUGACAUGACACUUUCAAAAUAAACAAUAUAGACAAGGGAACAUCCCUCAAAGUGGGUGCAGUUAUAUAAAUAUCAGACAAAAUAUAGGUUAAGGCAGAAAGCAUUACUAGGGCUAAAGAAGGAUUAAUGAGAAAGGAAUCAAUCGCCAAGAAGAUAUGAUAAUAUAAAUUUAUAUGCAUCUAAUAACACAGCCUCACUCUGUAUAAAGCAAAUGAGCAGAAAUAAAAAGUGAAACACAUUCACAUUCAUGGUAAGAAAUGUUUAUUAGCACAUCUCUCCCAGUAACUGAUAGAACACACAGAACAAAGAAGGGUAUAUAAGAUGUAAACAACAAGAUCAACAAACGAAAUCUAAUUAACACGCAUAAAGUACUGCUCCCAACAUCUGCAGAAUACACAUCCUUUUCAAGAAUACUGUAACAUUCACCAAAAACUGCCCAUAUCUUGGGCCAUAAAGCUAGUUGGGACAAAUUCUAAAGGGCUGAAACCAUACAGGAUGUGUUUUCUAACUAGAAUGGGGUUAAGCUAAAAUCAAUAAUUUAAAAAAAUCCCAAAUACUGGAAAUUAAGAAGAAACACUUUUUAAAAUCUAAGGAGUGAAAGAAGAGAUUACAAUAAAAAUUAGAAAAUCUUUUGAACUUAAAAUAAUAGAAAUAUGACAGUGAAAGUAUUCAACACAGAUAAAACUAUGCUUUUUAUAUUUACACUUUAUGUGUUUAUGUUAGAAAAGAAGGCUGAGAAUCGAUGAUGUAAGUAUGCUUUUUAAAUGCCAGAAAAAGAAUGGCAAGCAUAUAAACCCAAAGAAAGUGGAAGGAAGGGAAAAAUAAAGAUUAGACUAGAAACCGGUAAAAUUAAAACCAAAUGUAUAUUGAAGAAACAAGACAAAAAUUAGUUCUUUGAAUAGAAUAUUGAACUUUAUAAAUUCCUAGUAAGUCUGAUCAAUAAAGGAGUGGAAAAAAAUCACAAAUUACCAGUAAGAGAAUGAAUUUGGAAAUUUAGAAAACAAAACAAAACCCUACAACCUACCAAAAAUGAUGAAAAUCUGAAUAAGUCUUACAUCUAUUUAAUAAAUUGAGUCCAUGAUUAAAAACUACGCCACAAAGAAAACUCCAAAUCCAGAUGGCUUUGCUAGUGAAUUUUCCUAAACAGUCAAGGAAAAUAAAUAUUUAUCUUUCUGGUACUACUUAAAGAGAAAGCACUUCCCAACUUGUUUUAUGAGGAAAGAAUAAUCUUGAUCCUAAAACUGACAAUGACAUUAUAAGAAAAGUAUAAGCUGAUCUCCCCCAUGAAUUUUGAUGUAAAAAUCCUAAACAAAACAUUAAACGAACCCUGCUUUACAGAAAAGGACAGAAUAUAAAUAUCAAGAAAUAAAACAUUGGUUGAUUUUAUUAUUGUUUUCUUUUUAGGGCCUCACCUGUGGCAUAUGGAAGUUCCCAGGCUAGGGGUCAAAU